This 611-nucleotide long non-coding RNA is filed under the name Olea europaea subsp. europaea. The record is from RNAcentral. Lineage: Eukaryota; Viridiplantae; Streptophyta; Magnoliopsida; Lamiales; Oleaceae.
AGUAUGAAGCAAAUCUACACUAAGUAAAAAUAUAUAUAGUCAAAUAUUUAAUAUCAAGUUUAGUUUUAAACGAGUCCCUCGCAUGAGGUCACAUUCACAAAUUUUAGUACACAUACAAUUUCGACAAGACUUAAAUAUAAUAUAUAAUUUAUUAAUUUCUGUAGAAGUAAUUCGCGAGAUCAUGUACCUCUCUUUCCUAGCUAUAAAGGAAAAAGGUCCAGUUGGUUAGAUCCAACCUAUUCUUGAAAUAAACAACUCACACACACUCCAUUUCCAAAAAAAGAUCAAUACACCAAUCACUACACUUAGAUUUAUUGGAUUUGUUGCUAAAAUAUCGGUAUUAAAGCCGAAACUCCCGGCAGAUGGCCAGUGGCCCAAAGAAACGAAAGAAUCGGUUACAUUUUUCAUAGAAUCUCCUCUUAUAGAUAGACUCAAAAAUCGAUCAGAGUUCUUUUUGUACCACUUUGCCUUUUUUUUUUUUUUUUUUAUCGAGUCAAAAAAUAUUUGAGUUAUAAGGUAUGAACUACCCCCUUGUUGUCGAUCACCUUGUUCUGGUAGCACAUCGAAUAGUCUAAAAAUUUAAUUUGAAAUUAGAUUUGCAUGUGUCUUUU